This 640-nucleotide ribosomal RNA is filed under the name Malassezia pachydermatis. RNAcentral's name for it is "LSU rRNA". It matches the Rfam family "Eukaryotic large subunit ribosomal RNA", at positions 38 to 667 of the family's 3401-position model. Lineage: Eukaryota; Fungi; Basidiomycota; Malasseziomycetes; Malasseziales; Malasseziaceae. The record is from RNAcentral.
GCAUAUCAAUAAGCGGAGGAAAAGAAACUAACAAGGAUUCCCCUAGUAACGGCGAGCGAAGCGGGAAGAGCUCAAAUUUGAAAGCUGGCACCUUCGGUGUCCGCGUUGUAAUCUCGAGACGUGUUUUCCGUGUGGCGCUAUGGACAAGUCCCUUGGAACAGGGCAUCGUAGAGGGUGAAAAUCCCGUACUUGCCAUGGNUGUACCAUGCUUUGUGAUACACGCUCUAAGAGUCGAGUUGUUUGGGAUUGCAGCUCAAAAUGGGUGGUAGACUCCAUCUAAAGCUAAAUAUCGGGGAGAGACCGAUAGCGAACAAGUACCGUGAGGGAAAGAUGAAAAGCACUUUGGAAAGAGAGUUAAAAGUACGUGAAAUUGUCGAAAGGGAAGCGCUUGAAGUCAGCCAUGCUGCUUGAGACUCAGCCUUGCUUUUGCUUGGUGUAUUUCUCGGUAGCAAGCCAGCAUUGGUUNGAGUCGUCGGAGAAGGGUAUGAGAAAUGUGGCAUCCUCGGAUGUGUUAUAGNCUUGUACUGGAUACGACGAUUUGGAUCAAGGAACGCAGUGUGCCUCUGGCGGGUCUUCGGACACCUUCACACUUAGGAUGCUGGCGUAAUGGCUUUAAGCGGCCCGUCUUGAAACACGGACC